AUGAUCGAUUCAACCUCUGAUCAAAAAGAUAGACCUUGGUUCUAUUUCAUCUCUUCAACAAGUUUAGUAAUAAGCAUAACGGCCCUAUUGUUCCGAUGGAGAGAAGAACCUAUAAUUAGCUUUUCGGGAAAUUUCCAAACGAACAAUUUCAACGAAAUCUUUCAAUUUCUCAUUUUAUUAUGUUCAACUUUAUGUAUUCCUCUAUCCGUAGAGUACAUUGAAUGUACAGAAAUGGCUAUAACAGAGUUUCUGUUAUUCGUAUUAACAGCUACUCUAGGGGGAAUGUUUUUAUGUGGUGCUAACGAUUUAAUAACUAUCUUUGUAGCUCUAGAAUGUUUCAGUUUAUGUUCCUACCUAUUGUCUGGAUAUACCAAGAGAGAUCUACGGUCUAAUGAGUAA
RNAcentral lists this ribosomal RNA (399 nucleotides) under Triticum aestivum (bread wheat). RNAcentral's name for it is "partial small subunit ribosomal RNA". Lineage: Eukaryota; Viridiplantae; Streptophyta; Magnoliopsida; Poales; Poaceae. The record is from RNAcentral.